UACAGAGGUCUCAAGCGUUGUUCGGAUUCAUUGGGCGUAAAGAGCGUGUAGGCGGCCAGACAAGUCUGCUGUGAAAACUCGAGGCUCAACCUCGAGCUGUCGGUGGAAACUGUCUGGCUAGAGUCCGGAAGAGGAGAGUGGAAUUCCUGGUGUAGCGGUGAAAUGCGCAGAUAUCAGGAAGAACACCGGUGGCGAAGGCGGGUCUCUGGGCCGAUACUGACGCUGAGGAGCGAAAGCGUGGGGAGCGAACAGG
This 253-nucleotide ribosomal RNA is filed under the name uncultured bacterium. RNAcentral's name for it is "partial 16S ribosomal RNA". It matches the Rfam family "Bacterial small subunit ribosomal RNA", at positions 524 to 776 of the family's 1533-position model. The record is from RNAcentral.